RNAcentral lists this ribosomal RNA (253 nucleotides) under uncultured bacterium. Its description in RNAcentral is "partial 16S ribosomal RNA". It matches the Rfam family "Bacterial small subunit ribosomal RNA", at positions 524 to 776 of the family's 1533-position model. The record is from RNAcentral.
UGCGUAGGGUGCAAGCGUUGUCCGGAAUUAUUGGGCGUAAAGAGCUCGUAGGCGGUUUGUCGCGUCUGCUGUGAAAACCCGAGGCUCAACCUCGGGCCUGCAGUGGGUACGGGCAGACUAGAGUGCGGUAGGGGAGAUUGGAAUUCCUGGUGUAGCGGUGGAAUGCGCAGAUAUCAGGAGGAACACCAAUGGCGAAGGCAGAUCUCUGGGCCGUAACUGACGCUGAGGAGCGAAAGCAUGGGGAGCGAACAGG